This 543-nucleotide long non-coding RNA is filed under the name Pan troglodytes (chimpanzee). Its description in RNAcentral is "long non-coding RNA NONPTRT001153". The record is from RNAcentral. Lineage: Eukaryota; Metazoa; Chordata; Mammalia; Primates; Hominidae.
CACCUCUUACAACCUAAUCUGCAGCGCCAGCUUUACCAAAUCCAUUAUUUGGGCAGGAUUCUGUAGGGAAAACUCAUCACCACUUCAUAUAGCAUCAGCCAUGCGGCUCAACUGAGGGCUGUUGGAUCCACUUCUAAGAUGACUCACUGCUGGCUGGCUGUUAAUGCUGGGUUGAGGCCCUGGGGCCUUGGUUUGUCUCCACAUUGGCCUCUCCGUUAGGCCUGGACUUCCUCACAAAAUGGUGGACGAGUUCUAAGGGUAAACAUCGCAAGAGAGAAAACCAGACAAGAGAGCAAAACUUGCCUUUUGUGACCUAGCCUCAGAAAUCGCAUAGUGUCUAUUAAUUGAAGCAGUCCCAAAGUCCCACCUGGGUUCAAGGGGAGGAGAUACUGACUACACUGUCCUUGAUGGGAGGGUGGUAAGAUUCUGGAAGAGAGAUGGGACCAGAAAUGUUGUUGCAGCCAUUUUGGGGAAGUGCAAUCUACCACAACGCAUAUGUAUGUACUCCUAGGCAAUAUGCUAUUUAAUUUUGCAUGUUUUACG